AGCAGGAUGGGCUGGACAGUGGGACAGCCUGUGUGCACAUUUUGUGGCAAGUAGGAGUGACACCAUCCCUGGGAGGCACCAUGGUUCCUGCCAAACCCAACCCUAGAACUCUGUCCCUGAGGUCGUUUCACCAAAACCCAAAACCCAGAACUGUGGUUGUGGCUCAGGGGUCAGCACCUGCUAGUACCAGGACACUACUGGGAGGCUGGGACCUGACUGAAGCCCAUGGUGUCUGUGGCCUGAGGACAGGGUGUGUUGGGGCCAUAAGGCCCGGCCGCCAAUGGCCAUUGGGUCCUAGGGCCUCAGCCCCGGUGUUUGCCCUUCCCUGGCUCCUUCUUGUUCAGUCCCAUUAGGACCCUGGAGCCCAAGACCCAGCACCCAAGGUCCCCUCCAGGAAUGCUGGCAGUUUGGCUUCCUUUAUCAUGUUUCAUCUGAGAGCAAAAAUGUCAGAUCGGAUGCACAGAAAAAUGGCCCAAAUUGUUUAAUGACUAGAAGAAAUAUAGGAGCAGCAAGAAUAUGUCUCAGCUGCUCUACAAGGGGGUCCCAUUUCAGGUGUGGGGCUAGGCAUGGUCACUCCUGCUGGAUGUCUAGAAGGUGGAAAUUAAGGACCAAGAAAAUACCAGAUACAGCCUUUCCACCCUCAUCCAGAGCAGGACAAACAGGCCAGGUGGUGUCAGGAGCCCAGGUCUCCAGCUGGAGGGAACGUCAACCCUGCAGUGGGAGCAGGGGCCCAUCGCACAUCCUAGGCACAGAUGCUAAUGUAGGCACCGCAGAAGCACUGCUGACUGUAAGUGGCUGCCAUUUGUGGCAGUGAGCAUUUUGUCCAUUCUGAGGUUGGAUUGGUUUCUCCUUUUGGCCUUGCCCUGCCCUACAGACCAUAAAGGAGAACAGCAAGAGGCCCCCAGCAAACACCCACAGAUGGCCCUGGACAUCAGCCACAUUCUGAGAAACGUCAUGUUGUGGGAGGGCUAAGGCAUCAAGAAUUCUAGUGACUAUGUUGCCACCAUCUUGGAGCUCCAUGCCCUCAUAGUAUAGUGGCACCAGCAGAUCUGCCUGUGCAUGGACUUCCUGUACUACCUCACUCCUGAGGGGAGAUGCUUCUGCAGGGCCUAUGAACUGGUGCACAACUUUAGCCACCAUCGUCCUGGAGCAGCGCUACACCCUCACUAGCCAGGGUGUCGACAGCCUCAAGGCCAAGGCCACAUUCAAGACUUUGGACUUCACUGAUGCACUUGUGCCGAGCAAGCUGUUUUGCAGAUCCUGGUCAGAGUAAAACAUUCCAUGGGAACUCGGGCUGUGAGAAGCAUCCUAACCACCUGACUGCAGAAACAUCCUUAUCACAUCCUGCUGGGCAAAGGCCCAACAGCCUGACUUCAGGAACAUCCUUAUCAUCUUCUACUGGGCAGCAAGCUAUACUGUCCAGAGCGCUCCCUCCCAGCCCCAUGAUUACCCCAGCCUGUGAGCGGCAGUGGGUGCUGACACUAAGCUGGUUUCCCCCUCCGCAGGGUUUUGCUAGUAAUAAACCUGUGUUGCUGUUGAAGCGGC
Molecule: long non-coding RNA, 1545 nt
Filed under: Pongo abelii (Sumatran orangutan)
Lineage: Eukaryota; Metazoa; Chordata; Mammalia; Primates; Hominidae
Description: lincRNA
Source: RNAcentral